This is a small nucleolar RNA of Lotus japonicus, 79 nucleotides long. NCBI's taxonomy places the organism in Eukaryota, Viridiplantae, Streptophyta, Magnoliopsida, Fabales, Fabaceae. The record is from RefSeq and is a predicted model, not a curated record.
AUGAGAUAUGAUGAUGUUUAUCCAUAGCGUCUGUAAUUGGAUGAUGAUCAUUAUAACAUGCACUACCAUCUGAUCUCUU